RNAcentral lists this ribosomal RNA (253 nucleotides) under uncultured bacterium. Its description in RNAcentral is "partial 16S ribosomal RNA". It matches the Rfam family "Bacterial small subunit ribosomal RNA", at positions 524 to 776 of the family's 1533-position model. The record is from RNAcentral.
UACGGGGGGGGCAAGCGUUGUUCGGAAUUACUGGGCGUAAAGGGCUCGUAGGCGGCCAACUAAGUCAGACGUGAAAUCCCUCGGCUUAACCGGGGAACUGCGUCUGAUACUGGAUGGCUUGAGUUUGGGAGAGGGAUGCGGAAUUCCAGGUGUAGCGGUGAAAUGCGUAGAUAUCUGGAGGAACACCGGUGGCGAAGGCGGCAUCCUGGACCAACACUGACGCUGAGGAACGAGAGCCAGGGUAGCAAAAGGG